GACGAACGCUGGCGGCGUGCUUAACACACGCAAGUCGAACGAAGAGCGAUGGAAGCUUGCUUCUAUCAAUCUUAGUGGCGAACGGGUGAGUAACGCGUAAUCAACCUGCCCUUCAGAGGGGGACAACAGUUGGAAACGACUGCUAAUACCGCAUACGAUCUAAACUCGGCAUCGAGGAUAGAUGAAAGGUGGCCUCUACAUGUAAGCUAUCACUGAAGGAGGGGAUUGCGUCUGAUUAGCUAGUUGGAGGGGUAACGGCCCACCAAGGCGAUGAUCAGUAGCCGGUCUGAGAGGAUGAACGGCCACAUUGGGACUGAGACACGGCCCAGACUCCUACGGGAGGCGGCAGUGGGGAAUCUUCCGCAAUGGACGAAAGUCUGACGGAGCAACGCCGCGUGAGUGAUGACGGCCUUCGGGUUGUAAAGCUCUGUUAAUCGGGACGAAAGGCCUUCUUGCGAAUAGGGAGAAGGAUUGACGGUACCGGAAGAGAAAGCCACGGCUAACUACGUG
Molecule: ribosomal RNA, 510 nt
Filed under: uncultured bacterium
Lineage: Bacteria
Description: partial 16S ribosomal RNA
Rfam family: Bacterial small subunit ribosomal RNA
Source: RNAcentral